AUUAAGGGAUAUGGGUAAGUAUAUGAAAUUAGGCCACAGAUCAAUCAUGAUCUUAUUAAAUGGUAGAACAGGCUUGAAGGGCUGAAUGGCCCCCUCCUCUUCCUAUAUUCCUGAAUGUAGGGAAGGUGAUGAAGUUUUGCAGAUAUGCAAAUGUUGGUCAUGUGAUUGAUUAAUACAGGAAAAAACACCUAUAGGCUUCCAUAAAUAUACUAAUGGACAGGUCAGAAGGGAGUAAAGUAAUAAAUGGAAUUUAGUUUAGAGUUGUGUCGGGGGAAUAUAUUUUGGAAGAGCAUACCAUGCAUUGAAGACAAAUUGUAGAUGGAGCAGUAGAUUAGGUGGUCAGGAAGGCAUACUUUUUUUUAAUUAGCCAUGAUGUAGAAAAGUUAAGAGCAGGAGGGUCAUUUCCAUAAUUCAGACUAGGGCUUGAAACAAUGUUGGUAGAUAAAGAUGUGUGGGAACAUCUGGAAUCUCAAUACUGUUGGGCUUAAUAAGGAAUGCUGGGAAAUGAGGAACAUAAAGGUUUAAGGCAAGAUUAGAGUGGGGUGGCUUUAAUUACUAGGCUGUCAGUCUUUACUUGUCUUGCCGGACUCUGCCAAGCACAACCAGCAUUGCCUUCCCUCCUUGUGCAAAAUCAUGAAUGUGUAAUUGAAAUGAUAAAUGAAUAUGACCACUCACAAAAUGGGUGAAAUAACUCUCUUUUCUUCCUUUUUGAGCAUGUGGAGUCUAUGAGCAAUUUAAGGCCUUUCAAGGACAAUUGCAUUAAUCAGGCACUUGCACAACACUGUUGAAGACAUUUAUAAUCAUAGUAUCCUGGUACUCGUUGUCCAAAUUGUGGGUUACAAAUCCUGGUUUAAGCAAUCUUGAGCAUGUCAUUGGUCACUACAGAUUGAAGCUAGUCAUCUCUGUGAAGCAAUCACAGGUGACCUUAAAAGUCUCAAUUGCAGGCCAUAUGCAAAAAGAUAGUCCAUGAUUUUAUAGGCUGUACAAGGGCAUUGUUUUCUUCUUACCUUGAAUUGUGAAUUCCUUUAUCACUGUUGAACUUUUGAAUUGAAGAUGGUCAAAUUGGAUGAUGAAAGAAGAAGAGGAUGAGAACGAUGAGAGCACCAUCAACAAAUAUACAGGGAAAUGGCUACAGAACGUGGAAUGAGAUCUGAAUUGUCACCUUGUUGUCCUCUUCCAGCACUGGACUCCCUCACCCCCCCAAUGAUCCGAAAAAAGUUUUAACAAUCUUAGAUUAUUACUUUUUCCACUCUCUGACUGUUUUGAAGUGCUCCAGUGAAAUUUAUGACAGAUAGUUAACAGGCAAUCUGACAACAAACACAAAGCACUGCUUAGAUUUGAGAAAUAACAUGAAAAUGUAUUUAAAUUUAUUGCACAACAUGUUUAUUCCACUAAAACAUCCAAGCCCAAAUCAAAACUGAUGUGCAAUAAAAACUGAUGUAGUGUAUUACGAUCCUGUUGGUAUAAUGAUAUUAUUGAAUCCCUAGCACAGUCAUAAGAUGUUACUGGAGUCAGAUCAUUACAAUGCCUUUUUUGAUGGUUCUGGCAAAAGGUGUGAGAUUGAAUGGCUAAAUUGGAGGGGAACUAAUUAUGAGUUAGCCCCUUUCUAGUAACAAUUGGUGCUGAGCAUCACAGCUCAAAGAUCUGCAGGAGAGGAGUCCACACGUGCUAGUGAAUGUCAUCCUUAUUUUUUCCUAGGUACAGCAGAUCCAAAUUUAUUUCAUUGACUACCUCCACCAAAGCAACUAGUAUUAGAAGUUUAGCACUUGGCAUCUUUUACAUAUCUCCAAUGAUUAAUUAUUUGAAGGAAUAAUGAUGCCACUUCAUCAUACCAUCUCUGUUGCCCCCUUCAGCUAGUGAAGCAACCACUGCAAAACUGGUUACCUCAAUUUUAAAAUUUUGCAGCCAGAAACUUGAAGACCAAAUUCUCUGCACAUGCCUUCAUAAAUAAGGAGGUCAUAACUUUACAGAAUGGUCAGCCCUCCUUGGUAGCAGUGUGUGUUUUGCCACACUUGUGACACUGGGACCCAUACCAAUAGAAAUAGUGCUAAAAGACAAUACUUGCAGUUACUAAUGAACUGGGCUUUAUUUCCAAAUCUUUCUUUCCAAUGCCAUUGUAGCAUCCCUGGUGAAAAAGAACUGCAGUAACAUCUUAACUACUUCCCUCACAACAAAUAAAAAAAGGCCAAAAUCUUAUUAGUUUAGAAUUUGUGAACCAUAAACUGUAAUCAAAACAGUCAGAAGAGCAGCAAUUGGGAUUGGAAUUGGAAUGUGGUUAUCAUUAAACUAACACACUGACUUCUAAUCUAAAAAACAAUAAUCAGGUCACGCUACAAAACUUUCAGAUCCAAGCAUUAUUCAGCACAGUCCAGAUUUGCUAUUGCCACCCUUCAUACCACUGCAUUGAGGGCAUCACGAAGGGUUCUCAUUACAUUAAAAUUUAUCACAUGGAAAAGUCUCACUACACCACAGUAAAAAUCAGCACAAAAAAUUACAUUAAGAAUUACAUGGUAGCAUUAGCCAUCACCAUACUGGUGUUUACAGCACAGGUGAAGUACAUAUUUAAAAGCAACUGAGUCCAGCUCAGGGUUUAGGGGAGUGGGACGCUAUGGAAGUCAAUGUUAAGACUUUGUGGACAAGACAAUGAAUUACUUCAAUAGGAUGUGCCUCCAUUAGAUACCAUGGAGGAAGUUCAAAAACAAAUGAAAGCUGCAAUUAAAAGAUGCUGACAUACGAAGAUACUGUGUACUGCAGAAAUGGAAAGAACAUAUUGUAAUCUUCUAAUUGAGGACACCCAAACAAUGGAAGUCCACUUUAUCCCCACUGCAAGCCAUGCCGUUGAUCAGAUCUUUUGUAUUUUGUUUUGGAUGGUGGGGGUUCAGUCACUGACAUACUCACAUUAAAAAGUAACCAACAUUGUACAGGCAAACUCUCCAAAAUGAUACUAAACUGGCGCAACAAACAAGUUUUUAAAUUCUUUUUUCCAGUUCAGCUGUGCUUAACCACAAAAAAGUGAACCAUCAUUAAUCUCAACCACCUUUGAAUAAGGAAGAAUGUUUGAUUCAAAAGCAGCUUAAGGGGCUGAAAUUCCUUCAGUGUUAUCUUUAACAUUCUGGUCAUA
This is a long non-coding RNA of Rhincodon typus (whale shark), 3121 nucleotides long. RefSeq lists it as uncharacterized. The record is from RefSeq and is a predicted model, not a curated record. NCBI's taxonomy places the organism in Eukaryota, Metazoa, Chordata, Chondrichthyes, Orectolobiformes, Rhincodontidae. The transcript is spliced from 3 exons.